Long non-coding RNA from Dermacentor albipictus, 601 nucleotides. RefSeq lists it as uncharacterized. The record is from RefSeq and is a predicted model, not a curated record. NCBI's taxonomy places the organism in Eukaryota, Metazoa, Arthropoda, Arachnida, Ixodida, Ixodidae.
CCGGUGCAGAAUUGAAAAGAAAGUUGUUCAACGUUGGUGGAGGAAUGUGAAGAAGCGCCGAGUGUCAGUCGGUCAUGUGUUUUUUCGUGGAAGAGGCCUGGACGACAGGGGGAGGUAUCCGCUCUGCUAGAGGAAGCUGAGGCGCACUGGCACAUCAACAGGCUCAAAAGGUGUUGAGUGGCCUUUUUAUUGGCAGCUACACUCAUUUUUGGGGACGCUUCCUGUCAACGACACUAACCUUGUGGAAGAGAGCGUGGAGGUGCCAGAAGUUAAUGAAGCGCCUGAUGACGCUGAAGUCGUCGCUUCAUGGGAAGCAGAACAAGAACAUUUCACGAAAGGAAGUGUGGAAGGCAGCCCUGCGCCACCAAAUGAAAACUGUGAAGACGAGAACACUGCAACCCCUGCCGCCAGCUGCCCACCUGGCAGCAGAAAGCGAAAGCGGCCGUCAUCGCUUUUGCAGGAUGUGCUGGCGCUGCACAGUUGCGCAGAAGAGAGAGCCAAGAAAAAUGCUCAGCAAUCCAUUGAGCUGCGCAAAGAGCUUGUGCAGCUCCAAAAGGAAGCAAAUGAGAUAAACAAAAACACCCUUGAGGUGAUAAAAAAC